CAAGUAAGCCAGAUAGUCGCUGCCAGGUUAUGCCUGGGAGAGGAAAGUCCGAGCUUCAUAGGGCAGGGUGCUGGGUAACUCCCAGUGGAGGCAACUCUAAGGAAAGUGCAACAGAGAUAUACCGCCAGUUUACUGGUAAGGGUGGAAAGGCGAGGUAAGAGCUCACCAGCGUAUGGGUGAUCAUACGGCUAUGUAAACCCCAUCUGAAGCAAGAUCGAAUAGGGAGACAUAUGAGGCGGCCCGUCUCGUCUUCGGGUGUAUCGCUUGAGCCUAUUGGUAACAAUAGGCCUAGAUAGAUGACUAUCAAAUACAGAACUCGGCUUAUAGACUUACUUAUACC
This 340-nucleotide RNase P RNA is filed under the name Hathewaya proteolytica DSM 3090. RNAcentral's name for it is "Bacterial RNase P class A". It matches the Rfam family "Bacterial RNase P class A". From Rfam's summary of the family: Ribonuclease P (RNase P) is a ubiquitous endoribonuclease, found in archaea, bacteria and eukarya as well as chloroplasts and mitochondria. Its best characterised activity is the generation of mature 5'-ends of tRNAs by cleaving the 5'-leader elements of precursor-tRNAs. The record is from Rfam by way of RNAcentral. Lineage: Bacteria; Bacillati; Bacillota; Clostridia; Eubacteriales; Clostridiaceae.